Molecule: small RNA, 91 nt
Filed under: Escherichia coli
Lineage: Bacteria; Pseudomonadati; Pseudomonadota; Gammaproteobacteria; Enterobacterales; Enterobacteriaceae
Description: Hfq binding sRNA
Source: RNAcentral
AACCCCCAGCUAAGCUGGGGGUUUCGGAAGGUUUUUCAGCUUUGAGUCAGUUAUUAAAAUCCUUAUUGGGUUGUGGGGCUCGCGCCUAAAA